AAGUGGCUGCAAGACGUUGUAUAGGGCAGUGUAUAAAGAAACUAGCUUAGCUGCCAGGCAGUGCAGAGGCUGGAGCAGCUGGCCACAAAUCUGUGAGCCUGCUCAUAGGGAGAUAGGCUGAUGAGAGGCUAAUGAGAAACCCCUGUGAUGGACUCUAAAAUACAGGGAUAAGGUAAACAGAAGGAGAAGGAAUUAGUAAAUAUAUUAGCUUGGCUCCAGGCCAGAGAGCUAGUCUGGUCCUGAUUGUUGUGGGGAGAACAGUUCUGGGGAGAUUUGGGUGAACUAAUGAUCCAUAGAGGGAUAUGGUACCCCAGACAACUGAUAAAAGCUGGCUGGUAGGGAUGGGAGCAGAUCUGCUCUGUGGUGAAGAUACCCCAACAGGUUGGAUUGAUGUAGACAAAUAACUUUCAAAGCAGACUUCAGAAAUUACUUCAGGAGUAACUUUUAAAGGAAACUGAUGAAGUGAGCCACACUUUUCCCAUCUGUGUGCAUGUUGAAUUCUCUGAACUACUGCAGGGAGUAGAAGAGAUUAUGACUCUGAUUCCUUCCCAUUCGUUCUUAGCCCUGGAUGGGGUGGACAGAGGGCUGCACCUGAGAGGAUGCACAGAGGAAGUAGUCUCCCCUGUGAGAAGGGACUGAGAUUUAAUCGAGUCAUGUGCAAGAAACACACAGAACAGGUGUCAGUGGGUGAAGAUCAGCUUGACUUCAGCUUGAGUGAAAGGAUUGGUGAAAACCAACUGCCUUAGUGAAAUGAAGCUGCUUUGGAAGGUGCUUACUAGAUUUCUGGAUUCUCUUGGGAGGUCUCUUCAUGCAGAAGAUACUUAUCAGAGUUGUUUGCUCUUACUGUAUUCCUUUUGAAGUUCAUACAUUUUACUACAUUCAAAGAUCAUGUGGGACAAUGUGAAAUCCAGAAUAAUGUGAAAUCCAGGAUGUUGCAAACCCCCCACCCCUGCAGGCUUCAGAGAGUCAAUGUACUGCUAAUGAUUCAUUGUUAACCCUGGUGAAGUAGCAAUUAGUGUGAAUGGUCAUUCUGCUAAUGAAGCUAACCUAUUUUAGGGCAAUUUUGCUGUCUGCUAAGGCCCCAGUGCCCAGGACACUCAUUUUAAUGCUGAUCAGCUGGUUUGGAUUGGCCUCCAAAAUGGACUCUCCCAGCCAAUCCUGGAGGUAUAAUCAUCCUGUGUAUAAUGCAGGAAAUUUGUGUUUUGUGAUGCUUUGCUGAAUUGAACCCUUUUUCUGGCUCAUGCCUCUCUUAAUAUUAGAUGACCCUUAAUAUAAGACGGCCCCCAAUAAUUAGAUUUGGUAGGUGGAAAAUUUAUACAUUUGUAAUAAUUUUCCAGGUAUAGAAUCUAAGUAUUUGGAGGGUUGUCCUGAAUCCCCUGCCCCACUGCUAGAGUGGAGAAAGCAGUGGCUGGGAGGUUCCAGUUGCCUCUGCACCUUGUGCCCCACCCACUUCCUUCCACUGCUGCCUUCCUGCCACCUGCACCCACCAC
This is a long non-coding RNA of Alligator mississippiensis (American alligator), 1490 nucleotides long. RefSeq lists it as uncharacterized. The transcript has 3 exons. Lineage: Eukaryota; Metazoa; Chordata; Crocodylia; Alligatoridae. The record is from RefSeq and is a predicted model, not a curated record.